CCUACGGGGGGCUGCAGUAGGGAAUAUUGCUCAAUGGGGGAAACCCUGAAGCAGCAACGCCGCGUGGAGGAUGAAGGUUUUAGGAUUGUAAACUCCUUUUGUUAGAGAAGAUUAUGACGGUAUCUAACGAAUAAGCACCGGCUAACUCCGUGUCAGCAGCCGCGGUAAUACGGAGGGUGCAAGCGUUACUCGGAAUCACUGGGCGUAAAGAGUGCGUAGGCGGGGUAAUAAGUCAGAUGUGAAAUCCUGUAGCUUAACUACAGAACUGCAUUUGAAACUGUUACUCUGGAGUGUGGGAGAGGUAGGUGGAAUUCUUGGUGUAGGGGUAAAAUGCGUAGAGAUCAAGAGGAAUACUCAUUGCGAAGGCGACCUGCUGGAACAUUACUGACGCUGAUGCACGAAAGCGUGGGGAGCAAACAGGAUUAGAUACCCCAGUAGUC
Molecule: ribosomal RNA, 440 nt
Filed under: uncultured bacterium
Lineage: Bacteria
Description: partial 16S ribosomal RNA
Rfam family: Bacterial small subunit ribosomal RNA
Source: RNAcentral